CAAUUCUUGAACCAAUGCAUGUAUAUAUCACAAACUAAGUCCUCUGUGCACGAUUUUAUCAUUAUUUACGCAAAUAUAUCGUAUAAUCGUCAAUUGUUUUUCUCUCUGUCUGUUAUGAUUUAACAAAUAUGGCUGCUCAUUAAAUGCCGUGUUUUGAAGCCGAAGUUUACCGAUUGUCACCUUAUAGUAAAUAAAUAACAAAAAGCAUGGGUAUUGAGCACGUGCUUAACAUGUACAAUCAGAUAAUUGUUUAUUUUAAUGACAGAUUCAUGCGUAUUGCGAUCACCGGAUUUUUACGAGGAGGGUUACGCUCAGGUCACUAUGCAUAUGGAAAAUAUGUCGGCGAAUUGCUUCCUGGAAGCAAGCAAUUAAAAAUAAGUAAACUCUUUCUAAAUGUGGACAAAUUAAAGAAUUUUCCUCAGAAAAAAGUAUAUGUACAAAAGUUUUAUAAUGAAAACUAUCCAUUUAGUUAUAAAAAACAGAUGCAUAUUUUUUUUUAAUUUGAG
This 506-nucleotide long non-coding RNA is filed under the name Mytilus galloprovincialis (Mediterranean mussel). Lineage: Eukaryota; Metazoa; Mollusca; Bivalvia; Mytilida; Mytilidae. The record is from RNAcentral.